AAAUCAAAAAUCUCAGUAACACUGUUGGAAUAAUGUACUCCCUGUGGUCUUAUUAAUGUCAGCUUAUUGAUAGCUCGAUUACCAAUCAAAUAGUUUCGAUGUUUUCUAUACUAUGAAGAAAAUUUGAUCUGAUUAGAUUAAUUCAGAUGUAAAUUUAUGUUAUACGGUGAAUGUAUCGAGUCAUAUUAUAUUCUGCAGAAUAUAUUG
Molecule: long non-coding RNA, 207 nt
Organism: Sitophilus oryzae (rice weevil)
Lineage: Eukaryota; Metazoa; Arthropoda; Insecta; Coleoptera; Curculionidae
Exons: 3
Source: RefSeq, a predicted model, not a curated record